UUCAGAUGUGAAACAUAUUCUUGAUCUUGUGGAGAGUCCAGACUAUAAACUAGAGACUCUGAGACUGGACGACUCCAGUGUUUCAGAGAUCAGCUGUGAUUCUCUGGUCUCAGCUCUGAAGUCCAACCCCUCCCAUCUGAAACAUCUGGACCUGAGUGACAAC
Long non-coding RNA from Mugil cephalus (flathead mullet), 163 nucleotides. RefSeq lists it as uncharacterized. The record is from RefSeq and is a predicted model, not a curated record. NCBI's taxonomy places the organism in Eukaryota, Metazoa, Chordata, Actinopteri, Mugiliformes, Mugilidae. The transcript is spliced from 2 exons.